Non-coding RNA from Mesocricetus auratus (golden hamster), 276 nucleotides. Lineage: Eukaryota; Metazoa; Chordata; Mammalia; Rodentia; Cricetidae. The record is from Rfam.
AAAAGUGAGGUGUUUGGACUAUGAUAUUAGUCGUCCCAUUGUUUUCAAGGGUGAUGAAGCUGAUCUGGCUGGGUAGGCAGAUGUCCUCUUUCUCCAUCAUACCACUCUGUGAGCUCUGUCAGCGACUCCCUCCCCCUACAAAGGAAGACCAUGAUUCAGCUAAGUGUAUAAAAGAAGCUACCCUUGCUUCCUAGAACCUUAGACAAGCUUUCAAGAUAACAGUUUUCUUCAUUUUGUAAAUGGAAGGUUGGUCUUGCAAAUCAAGGAAUAUUCUUU